Molecule: ribosomal RNA, 610 nt
Filed under: uncultured bacterium
Lineage: Bacteria
Description: bacterial SSU rRNA
Rfam family: Bacterial small subunit ribosomal RNA
Source: RNAcentral
CCUACGGGAGGCAGCAGUGGGGAAUUUUGGACAAUGGGCGCAAGCCUGAUCCAGCAAUGCCGCGUGAGUGAAGAAGGCCUUCGGGUUGUAAAGCUCUUUUGUCAGGGAAGAAACGGCUGAGGUUAAUACCUUUGGCUAAUGACGGUACCUGAAGAAUAAGCACCGGCUAACUACGUGCCAGCAGCCGCGGUAAUACGUAGGGUGCAAGCGUUAAUCGGAAUUACUGGGCGUAAAGCGUGCGCAGGCGGUUUUGUAAGUCUGACGUGAAAUCCCCGGGCUCAACCUGGGAAUUGCGUUGGAGACUGCAAGGCUGGAGUCUGGCAGAGGGGGGUAGAAUUCCACGUGUAGCAGUGAAAUGCGUAGAGAUGUGGAGGAACACCGAUGGCGAAGGCAGCCCCCUGGGUCAAGACUGACGCUCAUGCACGAAAGCGUGGGGAGCAAACAGGAUUAGAUACCCUGGUAGUCCACGCCCUAAACGAUGUCUACUAGUUGUCGGGUCUUAAUUGACUUGGUAACGCAGCUAACGCGUGAAGUAGACCGCCUGGGGAUACGGUCGCAAGNUUAAACUUAAGAGUAGUGACGNGNGAGNGNGACGAGACGACGAGAGGAG